ACGGAAGGCAGCAGUGGGGAAUAUUGCACAAUGGGGGAAACCCUGAUGCAGCGACGCCGCGUGAGUGAAGAAGUUAUUCGUAAUGUAAAGCUCUAUCAGCAGGGAAGAAAAUGACGGUACCUGACUAAGAAGCCCCGGCUAACUACGUGCCAGCAGCCGCGGUAAUACGUAGGGGGCAAGCGUUAUCCGGAUUUACUGGGUGUAAAGGGAGCGUAGACGGUCUAGCAAGUCUGAUGUGAAAGGCAGGGGCUCAACUCCUGGACUGCAUUGGAAACUGUUAGUCUUGAGUGUCGGAGAGGUAAGCGGAAUUCCUAGUGUAGCGGUGAAAUGCGUGGAUAUUAGGAGGAACACCAGUGGCGAAGGCGGCUUACUGGACGAUAACUGACGUUGAGGCUCGAAAGCGUGGGGAGCAAACAGGAUUAGAUACCCUGGUA
This 434-nucleotide ribosomal RNA is filed under the name uncultured Lachnospiraceae bacterium. RNAcentral's name for it is "partial 16S ribosomal RNA". It matches the Rfam family "Bacterial small subunit ribosomal RNA", at positions 341 to 792 of the family's 1533-position model. RNAcentral also lists the same sequence under 1 other name. The record is from RNAcentral. Lineage: Bacteria; Bacillati; Bacillota; Clostridia; Lachnospirales; Lachnospiraceae.